AUAAUAAUAAAAAUAAUAGAUUUGAAAUAUUUAUUAUAUAGAUUUAAAGAGAUAAUCAUGGAAUACAUAUAUUAUAAUAAUAUUAUAUUAUAAUAAUACUAUUAAUAGUUAAUUAGGUUACUAAUAAAAUAUAUAUAUUAUAUUAUAUAUAUUUUUAAUACCUAAAGGUAAACCUUAAAUUAUAUAUAUAUAUUAAUUUAUUUUAUAUAUAAUAAAAUAAGACUAAGUGAACUGAAACAUCUUAGUAACUUAAGGAAUAAAAAUCAACAGAGAUAUUAUGAGUAUUGGUGAGAGAAAAUAAUAAUAGGUCGUAAAAAGUAUUAUGUAUUAAUUAAUAUGUAAGAAUAUAGGAUUAACAAUUUCUAAGACUAAAUACUAUUAAUAAGUUAAGAAAGUACCGUGAGGGAAAGUAUGUAAAUGGUUAUUUUAUAAGCAAUUAUAGAUAUUAUAUAUAAUAUCAAUAAUGUACCUUUUGUAUAAUGGGUCAGCAAGUAAUUAAUAUUAGCAAAAUUAAAUAAUUAUAUAAAAAUAGAAAUAAAUAUAUAUAUAAAAAUAUAUUAAGAGUUAAUAUUAAUUGACCCGAAAGCAUAUGAUCUUACUAUGACAAGAUGGUUAAAAACGAUCGAACAGGUUAAUGUUGCAAAAUUAUCUGAUUAGUUGUGGUAAGGUAUGAAAGAUAAAUCUGAUAUGCAGAUAGCUGGUUUUCUAUGAAAUAUAUGUUAGUAUAGCCCUUAUAAUUAAAUAAUUAAUAAUAAUAUAAUAAUUUAUUAUAUUAUUAUUGAAUGGUACAGCAAUUAAUAUAUAUUGGGGAAUUAUUAUAAUUUUAUCAAUAAUAUUUAAUCUCGAAAUAUUUAAUUAUAUAUAAUUAAUUUAAUUAAUUAUAUAAUUUAUAAGGAGUCAGAUUAUGUGCGAUAAGGUAAAUAAUCUAAAGGGAAACAGCCCAGAUUAAUAUAUAAAGUUCCAAAUUUUAUAAAAUAUAUAUAAAAAAAAUAUAUUUAAUUUAUAAAUUUAAUUUAUAAAUAAUAAUAAGUGAAAAUAAUAUUAAAAUAUUAUUAAAUAAUCAGUUAAUGGGUUUGACAAUAACCAUUUUUUAAUGAACAUGUAACAAUGCACUGAUCAAUAAUAUUAUAUAAUAUUUCAAAUUAAAUUAAUUUUUAAUUAAUUUAUUAAUAAACAAUAUACGGAUCUUAUUAAUUAUAAAAAUUAUUAAACUGAAUAUUUAAAUAUUAUUAAUUAUUAUUAAAAUAAUUAAUAAUAUGGUAAUAGAACAUCUAAUGAAAGAGUAUAUUAAUUAAAUAUUAAUAUAUUAAUAAAUAAUUAGAUAGAGAAUGCUGACAUGAGUAACGAUAAAAAGGUUUAAACCUUUUCACCUAAAACAUAAGGUUUUACUAUAAAAGUACGGCACCUAAUAUAAAUAUGAAUAUAAAUAUAUUAUAGAUGGUAAAAAUCUAAUUUAAUAAUAAAAAUCUUUAUAGAUAUAUAUUAUAUAUAUAUAUAAAUUAAUAAAGAUCAGGAAAUAAAUUAUUAAAUGUAUACCGUAAUGUAUACCGACUCAGGUAUGUUAGUAGAGAAUAUGAAGGUGUAUUAGAUAAUUAAGGAUAAGGAACUCGGCAAAAAUAGCUCUAACGUUAGUCAAUAAAGAGAUAUAAAAACAAGGUUGUACAACUGUUUACUAAAAACACCGCACUUUGCAAAAACUAUUUAAGUUAUAGUAUAAGGUGUGAACUCUGCUCAAUGCUUAAUAUAUAAAUUAUAUAUUUAUUAAAGAAUAUAUAAAUAAAUUUAAGUAAAUAGCAGCCUUAUUAUGAGGGUUAUAAUGUAGCGAAAUUCCUUGGCUGAUAAUUACAGUCCCGCAUGAAUGACGUAAUGAUACAACAACUGUCUCAUCCUUAAACUAAGUGAAAUUGAAUUUGCAGUGAAGAUGCUGUAUAUUUGUAGUUAGACAAGAAGACCCUAUGCAGCUUUACUAUAAUUAGAUAGAUCGAAUUAUUAUUUAUUAUAUUCAGCAUAUUAAGUAAUUUAUAUAUAUAUAUAUAUAUAUAAUAAUCGUUUAGAUAUAAAUGAGAUACUUAUUAUAAUAAUAUAAUAAUUCUAAUCUUUAAUAAAUAUAUAUAUAUUUAAUAGAAAAUUAAUAUAUUCUUAAAUAUAUUUUAUAAUAUUAUUAUUAUUAAUAAUAUUAUAUAUUAAGAGACAAUCUCUAAUUGGUAGUUUUGAUGGGGCGUCAUUUUCAGCAAAAGUAUCUGAAUAAGUCCAUAUAUAAAUUAUUAUAAAAUUUUAUUUAUAAUAUAAAGUAUAUAUUAUAUAUACUAAUUAUAAAAUAUAUUAUAUAUUUUUAUAUAUAUAAUAUAAUAAUAGAAAAAUUAUAUACAGUAAAAUUGUCUGGAAAACAAUAAUAUUUAUUUAUUUUUAAUAAAUAUUAAAUUAAUAUAAUAGUAUAACUGUGUAAAGAUUAUGACACAAACAAGUGGAAUAAGUACGUAAGUAUGGUAUAAUGAACAAAUAAUACUGAUUGUAAAGGUUAUUGAUAACGAAUAAAAGUUACGCUAGGGAUAACAGGGUAAUAUAACGAAAGAGUAGAAAUUGUAAGUUAUGUUUGCCACCUCGAUGUCGACUCUACCUAUCCUAUUGGUUGUAAAAGCUAAUAAGGGUUCGACUGUUCGUCGAUUAAAAGGUAACGUGAGUUGGGUUAAAUACGACGUGAGUCAGUAUGGUUUUUAUCUACUACAAAUAAUAUUAUCUUAUUAAAUCUCAUUAUUAGUACGCAAGGACCAUAAUGAAUUAACCUAUGGUGUACCUAUUAAUUAUUAUAUUAAAUAAUACAUAAAUAAUUUAUUUAUUAUUUAAUCAAUAUUAAUUUAUAUCUUAAUAAUUGUUAUAGUAGGUAAGCUAAGUUAAUAAAUAAUAAAUAUUGAAUACAUAUAAAAUAUGAAGUAGUUUUAAAACGAUAAUAUAUACUAAUAAUCUUAUACUAAGAUUAAUAUAGGUUUUAUAUAUAUUUUAAUAUACAUAAAAUACUAAUUUAUUAGUUAUCUAUAUAAUAUCUAAUCUAUUAUUUUUAUUAUUAUUAUUAAUAUUAUAUAAAAAUAAUUUAUA
This 3093-nucleotide ribosomal RNA is filed under the name Nakaseomyces glabratus. RNAcentral describes it as "21S ribosomal RNA". It matches the Rfam family "Bacterial large subunit ribosomal RNA". Lineage: Eukaryota; Fungi; Ascomycota; Saccharomycetes; Saccharomycetales; Saccharomycetaceae. RNAcentral also lists the same sequence under 1 other name. The record is from RNAcentral.